Molecule: long non-coding RNA, 3010 nt
Organism: Anolis sagrei ordinatus
Lineage: Eukaryota; Metazoa; Chordata; Lepidosauria; Squamata; Anolidae
Source: RefSeq, a predicted model, not a curated record
CCCACAACAUCAGUCUACUUCCAGCUGGGCUUCCUGACACAAGUGAAGUGAAAACGUGUCUUACAGGUGAAAAUUGGGAUAUGUAUGAUUGGAUAACAUCAGAGUGGAGUCAAGAUGGCAUUAAUCAGGAAGAAACACAACCUUGGAAAGGUUGCAGCAGUUUGUUUUUGUCUGAGGAUAUUGAGAAGGAUGAGAUUUCCCACUGAGGAAAUUAUGGUGUAGAAAAAUCCUCAAGAUAACGAGGUUUUGAUCUGAAACUUUGCAGGGAACACAAAAUAUGAUGCAUACAACUGCUUGGUAAAUCAUGUGGCUGUAAAGUGUCCAGGAGGAAGAUUACCAUAAAUGUAAACCAAUGAAGCAUUGUAUAAAAUAGUAGUUUAUUUUCAGGACAUUAAAGGAAAAUACUUUUUUCUGCAAUGCACUCUUAAUUGUGAAUUUUCCUUCCUCAAGACGGAAUUAUUGUCAGUGGCUUACAGGAUCUUUCCUAUUGCAUGAUUAUAGCAGUUUGGUGUCCCUUUAACUGCCAUGUUUCUAUCCUAUGGAAUCCUGGUAUUUGAAAUUUUCUGGGAUGUCUAGAAAUCUUUGCUGGUGUUGUAGUUUAAGGGAAGGCACCAUAGCUCUCUAGCAGAGAAUUCUGAAGACUAAAAAACAAAGGAACCCUUACAGACUCUUGGAUUAUGUGGGUAUUGUUUUCUAUCUCGUUGGUUUUGAUGUAUGGCUGCUGUGUUAACAAUAAUCCAAAUGGGAUUUAAUCAAAGCAUGUAUCAUGGUAGCCAGAUCUGACAUCUGCUGGUUCAGGUGUAUCUGACGCACCAAUUUUAUCUGUGCUAAACAUAUUGCGGAUCUCUGCCAAAACCUAAGCACCUAGGCUCAGAUCUGAGUCCAGGAGUAUGGACAAGUUAUUAUUUCAAGAAGAAUGUAAUCUCAUCCAGCAAGGCUGAACCCCAAUUCUCUGUUUUGCUUCUCAAAAAAAUCAGGAGUACCUCUGAGUGAUCUACACUAUAGAAUUAAUGCAGUUUAAUGCUGUUUUAACUGCCAUGUCUCAAUGCUAUGGAAUCCUGGGUUUGUAGUUUGGUGAGGCAGAAGCACUCUUUGGCAAAACAGGCUAGGUAAUGGUAAAGGUUUCCCCUUGACAUUAAGUCCAGUCGUGUCCGACUCUGGGUGAACACCUAGUAAAAAUACUACUCCCAGGAUUCUGUAGCAUUUAGCCAUGACGAACUGAAUUAAUUUUACAGUGUACAUGCAUCCUCUGUCUCAUCUGGAUUAAGCUUCAGUUCCUUUGUCCUCAUCCACUUCAUUAUUGGUUUAGUACUAAAACAUUUUCUUUGGAUUUAGAUGGGUUCAGUGUCAUUAGCACACAGGUGAUACUUAACUCCCAAACUCUGGACAACUUCUCCCAGUUGUUUACAUUAAACACCAUGGAGGACAAAAUUUAAUCCUGAAGGACCUCACAGGCCAAUAGCUAUGAGGUUAAAUCACAAUUCUCCAGGAUUAUCUGAAUCUGAGCAGUGCUCCUUUCAUGCUUGUGACAUUAACUAUGCUGUUUGGCUGAAGUCAAGGAACAGUGCAUUCUUUUGAUGCUUGUAAAGUAGCCUAUUACAUUUUGGAUUCCCAAAGCUGGAAAGAUUCCCCUCCUUUUGUUUUAAUAUUUUGUACAUUCCUUCCUAGAAUGGGACCUACAGCUCUGUUAGGAAUUUCUAGUGAUUUUUCAUUAUUGCCAACACUGUUCAGAAAAUAUCUGUUGUUAUUUGUACAGGCCCCCUUUAAAAGAAGACAAAAUGCACAUCAGUCUUUCUCUCUGGAUUACUCCCAGGUUUUAUUGCAGUGCAUGGAUCCAAUUUUUAAACUGGUUCAUGGCUCAGUAUUUGCUAUCCUCCCUGUGCUUUAUGUUGUGCCUGAUAGCAAGUGUGAAACGGCAUUUAAAAUUAUAGUUCAUUUACUGUGGUUAAACAUAAGGAAGCAAAAGCAAUUACCCACAUAAAAUGAUGGAAUUAAAGAUUCUUUGUGUGACCUAGUUUGCUAUUUAGUGUUCAGUGAGUGCUGCAAAAGAUAAAUACAUUCUUUAUAGGGGGCUGUAUCAAUCUCCAAUCAUGAAUGAAAGCCAGUGAACAUGAUUUAGAUAUAAAAUAUAUGGUUUGCAAACAAAAAUCAAUCUUUGACUAUGAGAUAAGAGUUAGUUGACAGUAUGGUGUCCCUCACUUGUUUCUAAAUAGGGAGGAAAAUCUUCUUUAGUAGAGAAACAGUUAUUGCUUUACAUAGCAAUUUAAACUGCUUCACAAAAAUAUAUACUAAAAGAAAAAAAACCCUUUAAAGAGAUAUCCAUGCAGAUGUUCUGUGAAAGAAGGGAGAUACAUUUUAAUAAAGGAAAGUGUAAUACAAAGAGAAAAUGUUAAUUAGUUUAAUUUAAUUACAGACUUAGUACACGUUAGAUGCUUAAAUUUUAUGGGUUGAUGAUUCAAAUUUGAUUGAUCAUAAAAAUUAGUAUACAUAUUGUUUUGAGGCCUCUCUUCUGCACGCAUGUGUAAUUUAAUCCACAAGCCCUCUCUGUUGAUACAUUGUGCAUUAAAAAAACUGAUUGAGGAAAGCCAGCAGAAAGGAAAAGUAAACCUGGAAUUAUAAUAUCUGUAUGGAUGUCAAAUGUUAUUUUGAAAAAUAUACAAACAAGGGACAAGGAAAUAAAAUUAUUUUAGAAUAUGACCAGAUUUGUUUCUUUGGCUUAGGGCAUAGCUUUGUAAUGGUUCAUAGAGGGAUAUACAUACAGACAGGUAAGCUAGGCCAGAACUGUUUAGGGCUUUAUAGGCUAAAGCCAGCACUUUGAAUUGUGCUUGGUAUCAGACUGGCAGCCAGUGGAACUGGCAUAACAGGAGGGUUGUAUGCUCCCUGUACUCUGCUCCAGUGAGUAAUCUGGCUGCUCCCUGUACUCCACUCCAGUGCGUAAUCUGAACCAAUUGAAGCUUCCAAACAGUCUUCAAACCCCAUGUAGAGUGCAUUGCAGUAGUCCAGGCCCGUA